CCUACGGGAGGCAGCAGUGAGGAAUAUUGGUCAAUGGGCUUACGCCUGAACCAGCCAAGUCGCGUGAGGGAAGACUGCCAUAUGGGUUGUAAACCUCUUUUGUCAGGGAGCAACGCCGGCUACGUGUAGCCGGACUGAGAGUACCUGAAGAAAAAGCAUCGGCUAACUCCGUGCCAGCAGCCGCGGUAAUACAGAGGAUGCGAGCGUUAUCCGGAUUUAUGGGGUUUAAGGGGUGCGUAGGCGGAAUGCCAAGUCAGCGGUAAAAUCGCGGGGCUCAACCGCGAUCCGCCGUUGAAACUGGCGUUGUUGAGAGGGCGAGAAGUAUGCGGAAUGCGUGGUGUAGCGGUGAAAUGCAUAGAGAUCACGCAGAACUCCGAUUGCGAAGGCAGCAUACCGGCGCACAACUGACGCUGAAGCACGAAAGCGUGGGUAUCGAACAGGAUUAGAUACCCGAGUAGUC
RNAcentral lists this ribosomal RNA (460 nucleotides) under uncultured bacterium. RNAcentral's name for it is "partial 16S ribosomal RNA". It matches the Rfam family "Bacterial small subunit ribosomal RNA", at positions 338 to 795 of the family's 1533-position model. The record is from RNAcentral.